RNAcentral lists this non-coding RNA (58 nucleotides) under Sus scrofa (pig). The record is from RNAcentral. Lineage: Eukaryota; Metazoa; Chordata; Mammalia; Artiodactyla; Suidae.
UGCGUUCAUUCUGUUUGGCCUGGUGUUCUUUCAGCAGGCGGGACAGCAUGGUCGCAGU